UGGCGGANGCUUACCAUGCAAGUCGAGCGGAGAGAGGUAGCUUGCUACUGAUCUUAGCGGCGGACGGGUGAGUAAUGCUUAGGAAUCUGCCUAUUAGUGGGGGACAACAUUUCGAAAGGAAUGCUAAUACCGCAUACGUCCUACGGGAGAAAGCAGGGGAUCUUCGGACCUUGCGCUAAUAGAUGAGCCUAAGUCGGAUUAGCUAGUUGGUGGGGUAAAGGCCUACCAAGGCGACGAUCUGUAGCGGGUCUGAGAGGAUGAUCCGCCACACUGGGACUGAGACACGGCCCAGACUCCUACGGGAGGCAGCAGUGGGGAAUAUUGGACAAUGGGCGCAAGCCUGAUCCAGCCAUGCCGCGUGUGUGAAGAAGGCCUUAUGGUUGUAAAGCACUUUAAGCGAGGAGGAGGCUACUUUAGUUAAUACCUAGAGAUAGUGGACGUUACUCGCAGAAUAAGCACCGGCUAACUCUGUGCCAGCAGCCGCGGUAAUACAGAGGGUGCAAGCGUUAAUCGGAUUUACUGGGCGUAAAGCGCGCGUAGGCGGCUAAUUAAGUCAAAUGUGAAAUCCCCGAGCUUAACUUGGGAAUUGCAUUCGAUACUGGUUAGCUAGAGUGUGGGAGAGGAUGGUAGAAUUCCAGGUGUAGCGGUGAAAUGCGUAGAGAUCUGGAGGAAUACCGAUGGCGAAGGCAGCCAUCUGGCCUAACACUGACGCUGAGGUGCGAAAGCAUGGGGAGCAAACAGGAUUAGAUACCCUGGUAGUCCAUGCCGUAAACGAUGUCUACUAGCCGUUGGGGCCUUUGAGGCUUUAGUGGCGCAGCUAACGCGAUAAGUAGACCGCCUGGGGAGUACGGUCGCNAGACUAAACUCNAAUGAAUUGACGGGGGCCCGCAC
This 891-nucleotide ribosomal RNA is filed under the name Acinetobacter calcoaceticus. RNAcentral describes it as "bacterial SSU rRNA". It matches the Rfam family "Bacterial small subunit ribosomal RNA", at positions 37 to 926 of the family's 1533-position model. Lineage: Bacteria; Pseudomonadati; Pseudomonadota; Gammaproteobacteria; Moraxellales; Moraxellaceae. The record is from RNAcentral.